This 301-nucleotide ribosomal RNA is filed under the name uncultured bacterium. RNAcentral describes it as "partial 16S ribosomal RNA". It matches the Rfam family "Bacterial small subunit ribosomal RNA", at positions 509 to 807 of the family's 1533-position model. The record is from RNAcentral.
CAGUAGCCACGGGAAUACGAAGGGUGCAAGCGUUAAUCGGAUUUACUGGGCGUAAAGCGUGCGUAGGCGGCUUUUUAAGUCGGAUGUGAAAUCCCUGAGCUUAACUUAGGAAUUGCAUUCGAUACUGGGAAGCUAGAGUAUGGGAGAGGAUGGUAGAAUUCCAGGUGUAGCGGUGAAAUGCGUAGAGAUCUGGAGGAAUACCGAUGGCGAAGGCAGCCAUCUGGCCUAAUACUGACGCUUAGGUACGAAAGCAUGGGGAGCAAACAGGAUUAGAUACCCCCGUAGUCCCUGUCUCUUAUAC